GGCCUGCAUUUCUGGAAGUCUGCCGCCCAUUCAGCCUCUCACUGUUUGCCUCAGCCAAAAGCCUCAGCAGACACACUUCCCUCACCACCCGGCACCCCUCCCACUCCUCAGUGAGUACAAGUGGUCCUUGGAAAUCCCCACCCUGUUCUCCUGGGCCCACGGCCCCCAUAAUCUACUCCAAAGCUUGGCAUCUGUUACCUUUCUGAGCACCAUCCUCCUGGCCCACCACAUGCCUAUUUCCCCCUCAACCCCCCCAACACUUACACAACUGUUGGGACCUCAUGGCACAGCUUCUCAAAGUCCCUUCUCCCAUUAACACUUGAGCUCUGAUAGAUUUUUACUUCAUUUUUCUGUUUGAAGGUAUCAGAAUUUAUGGCACAUAGUACAGCUCGGGCACUGUUAAUUGUGCUGGGCAAAUGACUCAUGUACCAGACCUACAGGGCAGUGUUUCUCAACCUGUGGGUCGAACCCCCCAUCCCCAAAACCAUUGGAAAGUAUAAAUGUAUACAUUAUGAUUUGUAACAGUAGCAAAAUUACACUUACAAAGUAGCAAUGAAAAUAAUUUUAUAGUGUGUAUGUGGAGAGGAGGGGGCACCACAACAUAAAGAACUGUAUUAAAGGGUCACGGCAUUAGGAAAGUUGAGAACCAAUGCUCUACACAGUCAUGAUUUCCACAAACACAAAGAAGAAC
RNAcentral lists this long non-coding RNA (691 nucleotides) under Rattus norvegicus (Norway rat). RNAcentral describes it as "long non-coding RNA NONRATT025204". Lineage: Eukaryota; Metazoa; Chordata; Mammalia; Rodentia; Muridae. The record is from RNAcentral.